GUGAAUCAUCGAAUUUUUGAACGCAAAUUGCACUCUCUUCGGAGGGUAUGCCUGUUUGAGGGUCAGCCUAAAAAAAAAUCGACAUAUUCGCUUUUUCCCGUUGACAUUCGUCGGAAAUGGGGUCAUCUUAAACCUUUGGUUUUUAGGCGGCUUAAAUUUUUCUUUAGAAUUCAACGAACUUUUCUAGGUUUUACUUCUUGUACGUUUAAUGUAUCUAUCUUUAUUAGGCCUGUCCGUUGCAUCGGCGCGC
This 250-nucleotide unclassified non-coding RNA is filed under the name Glomus sp. RNAcentral's name for it is "partial contains 5.8S ribosomal RNA and internal transcribed spacer 2". The stretch from base 1 to 65 matches the Rfam family "5.8S ribosomal RNA", at positions 84 to 154 of the family's 154-position model. The record is from RNAcentral. Lineage: Eukaryota; Fungi; Glomeromycota; Glomeromycetes; Glomerales; Glomeraceae.